RNAcentral lists this ribosomal RNA (301 nucleotides) under uncultured bacterium. RNAcentral describes it as "partial 16S ribosomal RNA". It matches the Rfam family "Bacterial small subunit ribosomal RNA", at positions 509 to 807 of the family's 1533-position model. The record is from RNAcentral.
CAGUCGCCGCGGGAAUACGGAGGGGGCUAGCGUUGUUCGGAAUUACUGGGCGUAAAGCGCACGUAGGCGGCUUUGUAAGUCAGAGGUGAAAGCCUGGAGCUCAACUCCAGAAUUGCCUUUGAGACUGCAUCGCUUGAACGUCGGAGAGGUGAGUGGAAUUCCGAGUGUAGAGGUGAAAUUCGUAGAUAUUCGGAAGAACACCAGUGGCGAAGGCGGCUCACUGGACGACUGUUGACGCUGAGGUGCGAAAGCGUGGGGAGCAAACAGGAUUAGAUACCCCCGUAGUCCCUGUCUCUUAUAC